CAGCCGCCACGGUAAAACGUAGGUGGCAAGCGUUGUCCGGAAUUAUUGGGCGUAAAGGGCUCGCAGGCGGUUUCUUAAGUCUGAUGUGAAAGCCCCCGGCUCAACCGGGGAGGGUCAUUGGAAACUGGGAAACUUGAGUGCAGAAGAGGAGAGUGGAAUUCCACGUGUAGCGGUGAAAUGCGUAGAGAUGUGGAGGAACACCAGUGGCGAAAGCGACUCUCUGGUCUGUAACUGACGCUGAGGAGCGAAAGCGUGGGGAGCAAACAGGAUUAGAUACCCCCGUAGUCCCUGUCUCUUAUAU
This 301-nucleotide ribosomal RNA is filed under the name uncultured bacterium. RNAcentral's name for it is "partial 16S ribosomal RNA". It matches the Rfam family "Bacterial small subunit ribosomal RNA", at positions 509 to 809 of the family's 1533-position model. The record is from RNAcentral.